This 253-nucleotide ribosomal RNA is filed under the name uncultured bacterium. Its description in RNAcentral is "partial 16S ribosomal RNA". It matches the Rfam family "Bacterial small subunit ribosomal RNA", at positions 524 to 776 of the family's 1533-position model. The record is from RNAcentral.
UACGUAGGGGGCGAGCGUUGUCCGGAAUUAUUGGGCGUAAAGCGCGCGCAGGCGGUCUCUUAAGUCUGAUGUGAAAGCCCACGGCUCAACCGUGGAGGGUCAUUGGAAACUGGGGGACUUGAGGGCAGGAGAGGAUAGCGGAAUUCCACGUGUAGCGGUGAAAUGCGUAGAGAUGUGGAGGAACACCAGUGGCGAAGGCGGCUUCCUGGCUUAAAACUGACACUGUGGCGCGAAAGCGUGGGUAGCAAACAGG